AUUUUUGUGUGUUUUUCUCGUUUUCAAGUCAUAGUUUUUUUGUUGGUUUAAGUUCCUGCAUCACUUAUUUUGAGUCAUUUCAAACAAAGAUCCAUUCCGAUUCAAAGCUUCUUACCUCUCAAGUAACUUGUCAAGUAUUGCUGGUUCUCCAACACUAGUGAAGCCAAGUGUCAGGUGACGUGUAGUGUGAGUGAAGUGAGGCUUUUGAAAUAACUCGUUUGCUCAUUUUGUAGGUUAUUUUGCUUGCUGUUUUUUGCACUUCGUAGGUACAUUUUCCAUGGAAACCGAAGGUACCACUUCCCAACCUUUCGAAAAUAAUGUUAUGGAAGUUUUAAUGGACCAAAUGGAGGCCUUGAGUCAAGAAAUGAAGAGCGGAAAUGAUGCUAUAAGGAGAGAUAUGGAUUCAAUGAGGGGUGACAUGAUUAGAAUUAGAGCAAGGGUUGAUAGACUAUGUCCACCAAAAUCUCCACAAUUUCAAACACCUCAAGUCCAAAGAUCCUAUACUUUACAAAAUCCAAUGUCUCCUCUCCAUGAGUUAGAAAUAAAAGAGAGUGAGGCCAAGCCUCA
This 567-nucleotide long non-coding RNA is filed under the name Capsicum annuum. RNAcentral describes it as "long non-coding RNA (CANN_LNC012590)". The record is from RNAcentral. Lineage: Eukaryota; Viridiplantae; Streptophyta; Magnoliopsida; Solanales; Solanaceae.